UGGCUCAGUGGUAGAGCGCUAGCCUUGCAUGCCAGAGGCCCUGGGUUCGAUUCCUCAG
Molecule: transfer RNA, 58 nt
Filed under: Dipodomys ordii (Ord's kangaroo rat)
Lineage: Eukaryota; Metazoa; Chordata; Mammalia; Rodentia; Heteromyidae
Rfam family: tRNA
About the family: Transfer RNA (tRNA) molecules are approximately 80 nucleotides in length.
Source: Rfam by way of RNAcentral